GAUGAACGCUGGCGGCGUGCUUAACACAUGCAAGUCGAACGGAAAGGCCGAAGCUUGCUUCGGUACUCGAGUGGCGAACGGGUGAGUAACACGUGGGUGAUCUGCCCUGUACUUCGGGAUAAGCUUGGGAAACUGGGUCUAAUACCGGAUAUGACGAUCCCUUGGAUGGGGUUGUGGAAAGCUUUUGCGGUAUGGGAUGAGCUCGCGGCCUAUCAGCUUGUUGGUGGGGUAAUGGCCUACCAAGGCGUCGACGGGUAGCCGGCCUGAGAGGGUGUACGGCCACAUUGGGACUGAGAUACGGCCCAGACUCCGACGGGAGGCAGUAGUGGGGAAUAUUGCACAAUGGGCGCAAGCCUGAUGCAGCGACGCCGCGUGGGGGAUGACGGCCUUCGGGUUGUAAACUCCUUUCGCAAUCGACGAAGCCUUUUGGUGACGGUAGGUUGAGAAGAAGCACCGGCUAACUACGUG
This 468-nucleotide ribosomal RNA is filed under the name uncultured bacterium. RNAcentral describes it as "partial 16S ribosomal RNA". It matches the Rfam family "Bacterial small subunit ribosomal RNA", at positions 28 to 507 of the family's 1533-position model. The record is from RNAcentral.